This 67-nucleotide non-coding RNA is filed under the name Desulfovibrio sp. Lineage: Bacteria; Pseudomonadati; Thermodesulfobacteriota; Desulfovibrionia; Desulfovibrionales; Desulfovibrionaceae. The record is from RNAcentral. RNAcentral also lists the same sequence under 1 other name.
AUGCGAAACCGCCCCACGCGGGCGGUCGUCGGACGGUGGCGCGUCCGGCCCGAUGAUGCAGCCAGGG